CCAGGGUUUGGUCUGGUAACUAGAAGACACUUUCCCUGCCCCUUCCCCACCACCCCCUCCAAGCCGGAACAUGUAGAGGUGAGGAGCAGACACAGAGAUGGCAGGGAAGCCACUGGCAACGUGGGAAUCGUAGGAAGGAAGUGAUUCCGGUUCUUGAAAAAGACAACCGGAUUCCAUUAAGUAGAAUCGGUAUGAAUUGUACUCAUCUCCAGGAAAAAUCAAUUCCAGAAGGGCACCUUGGAAGUUGUUUUCAACCAUAUCCGGCCUUUGCCGAAUACAUCCUAUCUGCCACACAUCCAGCGUGAGGUA
Molecule: long non-coding RNA, 309 nt
Filed under: Pan troglodytes (chimpanzee)
Lineage: Eukaryota; Metazoa; Chordata; Mammalia; Primates; Hominidae
Description: long non-coding RNA NONPTRT018361
Source: RNAcentral